Molecule: long non-coding RNA, 1666 nt
Organism: Pan paniscus (pygmy chimpanzee)
Lineage: Eukaryota; Metazoa; Chordata; Mammalia; Primates; Hominidae
Source: Ensembl
UUUUGAGAACACAGAUUUUUGUAGCCAAGGCACCCAGUGUAUAGUACUUUGUUAUGGCAGCCCUUUCAUACAAAUACAGGAGGGGCUCAUGAAAAACUGGUGACAAUAAAUUGUUCUUUAUUUUCUGGUGCUCCCUCAAAAGAAAAAUGUGAGCCCUGGCAUGGCUUUCUUGUUUGAACUCUUUCUUCUUCAUGGAACAUACACUUGCCUGGACCGGGCUGUGGGCUGAGCAGUGUUCCCUUUGUGUAAUAACAACUUUGAUACAGUGGAGGGAAAAUUUAAGUGUCCCCUUCUAUGAGGACAUUAUGACCAGAAACUCAGUAACUUUAGGAAAAUUGAAGAUUUGAUUUGCCUGGACUUGGACCACUGGCUGUGCAAUCUCUAUUUUCAGUUUGUCUAAUGGCUAAAGGAGAGAAAGCAGAAUCAGGAGUGGAUAAUACAGCUGGCCUUUCAGAGAAGGAAACACAGAAGAAUCCUCGUGCACCAAUGGAUGAGGCAGACGUUAAAUCCGCAGCACACUCUUCUCAGGGGAGCCUUCCUAAAAAAAUCGGUCCCUGUUCUAUGGACUAUGAUCCCAAUCUCUUAAAAGAAGACGAUGAACUACACUCUCAGGGAGAUAGCCUGAUGGAUCAUUCUGUGAAUGGAAAAUCAACUGUUUGGAGAAUUGGAGAAGCUGAAGAUUAUUCACAGGACAUAUCUUACUUGGAGGAACUGAAGGAACACCGAUUUUCUGUUUGGCUGUCUUCAAGGACAUCCCUAGUCUCGUAUUUGGCAAUCUGCCCUUAUUCUCUGUCUGCUGCUUUCUGAAAAUAAAUGAAAAGACUGUUGUGACACUCUUGAAGGAAAACAAGAGGAUUUUUAUUUUUCACAAGCUUUGCUCAUGACUUCAGGACACUGGAUGAUGAGCUCUUUUUAAAACUAUCUGAUCAAUUGCUAUAUAAAUGGAAAUUAAUUUCUAAAUGUACUCAAAGAUUCUAGAAGAUGAAUUCAGACAUCUCAGCUACUAUUCGUCUAUGUGGCUCUUUACCAUUGGAGAAAGGCGGUGUUGCCUUCUGGCUUCAUAGGACUUGAGUUCAAAUUCUCACUGUGGCUUUUACCCCUGGGGGGAGUUCUAUUUUGAUUUGCUUUACACAGGGGUUAUUGCAGUUUCCCUUCAUUUUGAGAAUCCCCGACAUUCAGGAAUUUUUAAUUUCCUAAUUUAGUAUUAGAUGUUUCCAUUCAGAGCUAAUUUAGAAGGCAUUUAAGUAUUUCAUUCACUUUCUCACAUCAUAUUCUAAUCCUUUUUUUCCAUUUAAUUCAGAGUUCUCCUGAAUAACAUAUUGAGUGUUUUGUUUUGUUUUUACCAAGUAGGACCUAAUAAUUAAUGUUGCGGUUAUGAAGAAUAGUAUGGGAAAUGUAACAUUUCACAUAAAAACAGAUUUUCCCCGUGUUUCUGAAUGUAUUUGUGUGUGCGUUGUCUGUGAUUGCCUCCAGGCAGAUGCAAUCCUAGUGCUGUGAAUUGCUUCUGAACACAUACACACACACACAGUCACACACACUCAUACACACACAGAGCAGUUUUGCUGAGAAAUAUUUUGCUAGCAAAUCUCACAGCUAUCUCUCUAAAUGACACUUGCUGCCCAUAUGUGCAGUGUGCAUUUAAUAAUCAUUCUGUCACCUACGAAAC